GUGCCAGCAGCCGCGGUAAUACGGAAGGUCCGGGCGUUAUCCGGAUUUAUUGGGUUUAAAGGGAGCGCAGGCCGAUGGUUAAGCGUGACGUGAAAUGUAGCCGCUCAACGGCUGAACUGCGUCGCGAACUGGCUGUCUUGAGUGAGUUCGAUGUGGGCGGAAUUCGUGGUGUAGCGGUGAAAUGCUUAGAUAUCACGAAGAACUCCGAUUGCGAAGGCAGCCCACAAGGCCUUUACUGACGCUAAAGCUCGAAGGUGCGGGUAUCGAACAGGAUUAGAUACCCUGGUAGUCCGCACGGUAAACGAUGGAUGCCCGCUGUUUGCGAUAUACUGUGAGCGGCCAAGAGAAAUCGUUAAGCAUCCCACCUGGGGAGUACGCCGGCAACGGUGAAACUCAAAGGAAUUGACGGGGGCCCGCACAAGCGGAGGAACAUGUGGUUUAAUUCGAUGAUACGCGAGGAACCUUACCCGGGCUUGAACUGCAGCGGAAGGAUACAGAGAUGUUGACGCCCUUCGGGGCCGCUGUGGAGGUGCUGCAUGGUUGUCGUCAGCUCGUGCCGUGAGGUGUCGGCUUAAGUGCCAUAACGAGCGCAACCCUUUUCAUCAGUUGCCAUCACGUGAUGGUGGGCACUCUGGUGAUACUGCCACCGUAAGGUGUGAGGAAGGUGGGGAUGACGUCAAAUCAGCACGGCCCUUACGUCCGGGGCUACACACGUGUUACAAUGGGGCAUACAGAAGGCAGGACCAUGGCAACAUGGUUCAAAUCUUAAAAGUGCCCCUCAGUUCGGAUUGGGUCUGCAACCCGACCCCAUGAAGCUGGAUUCGCUAGUAAUCGCGCAUCAGCCAUGGCGCGGUGAAUACGUUCCCGGGCCUUGUACACACCGCCCGU
Molecule: ribosomal RNA, 888 nt
Filed under: uncultured bacterium
Lineage: Bacteria
Description: bacterial SSU rRNA
Rfam family: Bacterial small subunit ribosomal RNA
Source: RNAcentral